RNAcentral lists this ribosomal RNA (254 nucleotides) under uncultured bacterium. Its description in RNAcentral is "partial 16S ribosomal RNA". It matches the Rfam family "Bacterial small subunit ribosomal RNA", at positions 524 to 776 of the family's 1533-position model. The record is from RNAcentral.
UACGUAGGGGGCGAGCGUUGUCCGGAUUUAUUGGGCGUAAAAGAGCGUGUAGGCGGCCAGGUAGGUCUGCUGUGAAAACUCGAGGCUCAACCUCGAGACGUCGGCGGAAACCAUCUGGCUAGAGUCCGGAAGAGGAGAGUGGAAUUCUUGGUGUAGCGGUGAAAUGCGUAGAGAUCGGGAGGAACACCAGCGGCGAAGGCGGCGACCUGGACAGGUACUGACACUCAACUACGAAAGCGUGGGGAGCAAACAGG